RNA transcript from Biomphalaria glabrata, 5367 nucleotides. RefSeq lists it as uncharacterized. The transcript has 4 exons. The record is from RefSeq and is a predicted model, not a curated record. Lineage: Eukaryota; Metazoa; Mollusca; Gastropoda; Planorbidae.
AACGGGACGUACGGACGGACAGACGACACAAUACAAACAGCGACUAUUCAUCUAACAAUGAUUUAAAUAAGUACAAAAGCAAACACCAGAGUCAUCGUUGCAGGACGGCACAAGUGUUCUUUACAUUUAUUACACCACGGGUCAUAAGUGCAUGAUAACGUUAAAGACAGCACGGCCUAAGCUAAGACAUUUGGAAAAUAUUAGUUAUAAAGUGUUUCAAUUUUAGUUUGUCUGUGCUUGUGACAACAAAAUUAUUUUAUAUGCUUUGUCUCUGUAAAGCAGUGUGUAGAACAAUUUAAUUUGUGGCUACUAUUUUAAAUAACAAAAAUAAGGCCUUAUAAAGACGUGCUGGACAUUGGGCUGCAAUUAACUUCUUUAGAGAAGAAAUUAAAGUGUGUAUACAGAAUGUUUUAAUCGACUUUGAUUUGUACAAAUUGAUCAAUAUGAUACAUCUAUGAAAACAACGGAAGAGAUGUCGACGCUUGCGCAAAAAGAAACACAAGAACAAAUCAAUGGACUAGUUUUGGCAUUUCGAGAGGAGAUUAUGGCCGAACUUCAGAUGGCCAGUGACUUUAUGUCACAACUACAAGCACGAGUUGAGACUUUGUCGAAAAGCUUCAAGAAAAAACAAGAAGAAGACAGAGAACAGGAGGUUUUUCUAGACACAGCUAGAUGUCAGAACCAAGAUGAAACAACUGUUUGAAAAACAUGAAGAGUUGAGCAGUAAGCUUGAAAACCUGCUCGGACAAAAAGAUUCUCUAGGUAAACAAGAUUAGAUAAAAUUAGUAAACUAAACAUUAUGUAAUAAAACCAAUCAGAUCGACUCUUCUGUCUUACACAACAGAAUCCAACUCCCUCUGAAAAGCUAAUUUCAGCAGAAUGAUGUGUAUCAAAUAUCUGGACUUAACUAGGUAAAUGACUCACUCAUACGAUUGAAGAUUGUUUGCAAAUAUUGACUGUACUGUUAAUGUUUGCAAACAAUCUUCAAGAGUGACAAAACUAUCGUAUAUCCGAGUGAUUAAUAACAAAUACAUUUAUCAUAAAUAGCACCAGAGUACCUUCGUUUUUUUAUCGUUUUGUUUCCUUUGUCUGCAAUUUUCAAUACUGAAAAAUUCUAUUUAGCACAAAUCAAGAUUUAAUUCAGUUUUCCACACAAAAAAGUAGCUUUUCGAAAACCAAAGUGACCUAUAUUUUAAAAAAUAUGGCAAAUAAUUUAUAAAAAAAAAAAAUGUGUGUCCCCUGUUCAGGUGCUAAUAUCUAGCCUAGACUGCCAAUAAAUGGUCGUUAUCUUUGGUAUGUAGGGUCUCAAAUAGUUAACACAGUAUUUUAUUUCAUCGAGUCAAACGACAACGUCUAUUAGUAAACAAGUCGCUGAUACUUAGAGUGCCCACAUCUUAACAAGUCAACAUAUACAUGUAUACAAUGAAGUUCUGCGGUUGUUGACAACUUGAAAUACAAAUACUAAGAGCAUCUAUAAUGUGGGCAAGGAGAAUACCCUCUUACUAGUUACGUCUCACUAAUACAAAUGUCACUGUGCCAUCAAAUCACAAGCUCAACAUGCGCCUAGCUCAAUAUGAGAUGGCUGAUUGGUCAUGUUGUAUGCCCUCUAGACUGUCGUCUCAGUGGUUCCGGGUUGGAUCCCUACUCACUGUCCUGGGGUAGGCUCGGUCUUGGAUGUAAUAAUCUUCAUUUCUGAAGAAACAUCUGAAUUUUGUGAAAAGCAUAUUUAGUCAAUUGUCUAGUCAUUUUAUACUUUGGAAAGGACAUCUGGCUAAAAUGUGUGACUUCCCCGACAGAAGAAGGGACGAGAUAAUUAUCGCUACCGCCAAGAAAUUGUAUUAAUUAGAACCAGCUUUAUUUCAAAACGUCUGCAGUAAAAACAUCAAUGAUAAAACCUGUCUUAUUUAAUAUCUCUCCUCAAAUCUAUCUCAAAAGCAAUGAUGAUGUUACGUCCUCCACAAAACUCUGAACUGAGAUUAAGGGUUACCAUCUCGACAAGGACCCAGGACCUAGCACUGGCGGAUCCAGAGGGGGGAGCGGUAUGGGCGAUCGCCACCCCCCCCCCCACUCGGCCGGGGGCGGACGAAUUUUAGUAUAGAAUUCACACAAUUUGUAUACGAAUUUAUUACUUAUGUUAAUAAUAUAUACUAAUUAUUUAUAUUUCAACCUAUUUUUACAUUAUUUCGCCCCCCCUUCUAGUAUUUUGGCCGAUUUGGUAGGGCCGGGUGGGGGCGAUGGCAUCAAUCCGCCCCUCCACCAUAAACUUUCGGGUGGGGGGGCGGUCCUACUUUUAUGGAGAAAUCAUAGUAUGUGAACAAAAUUAGUCAAAUAUCUAUAUAAUAUAAACAGGUGCGAUACAUGCAAUCACCUUCUCCCCAUCGGACAAACCAAUACUUUUUCUUUUUGUAUUAUAGUAAGAAAUUACAAAAUUUAAAAAAUCUGACACUAAUAUAAUUUAUAUAUGCUAUAAAGUAAAUUCUUAUAUCGAGUCGCCCAACCCCUAUUCUUUAAUGCCAAAUGCAAUCGUUAGCAGAAAUUAUAAAAAAGGAGAGAGGAUUAUUCGUUUUCAUUCUACCACCCCCUCCCCUUUCCAGACAGAGUUUGUGUAAUUUCACAUGAUUUAUCAUAACUAUUUUAAGAAAGACUUUGCUUUGGAAAAGUUAUAAUUCAAACGAAAGUUUUCAAUAUAACAGUCACGGUUGAGAUGAGUUCAAAAGCCAGAUAAUCUUUUCCUAGUCGCCUUUUUCCAGCCUUACUCUAUCUCAUAUUUUUCUAGUUAAAUAAAUUUAAGACUAUAACUCACAAUUUAUGCUUGAAUAUUAUUUAUCGAAUAAUUUUUUUUUUCGGCGGCGAUCCUCAAAGCGUUAAUCUAAAUUUUUGGGGUAUCUUAUCUUUUCAAAGAACAAAUCGGUUUUAUUUGCAAUGUAUUAAGGUACUAUAAAUUCAUAUUAAAAUAUUUUUUCCAAAUUUUUCAAAAGGGUCCUUUAUAAUAGAAUGAAUAAUGAGCUGUAGAUGUCAGGAGAAUGCGUUUCUGCAGUGAAAAAUGCAAGAAAACGCUUUUGGGUGUCGCUGCUUCAACCCGAACCCCACUGAAGGAGCUUACAGCGCUCUCCCAGACCCCCAAGCUUGCAAGAGAAAGGCUUCAACAUGACUGGUUUUUUUUUCUUUUUCUUUUUCGCCGAAUAUUGAGAAACAGUCUUAUUUUAUUCUCAUAAUUGAAUAUAUAUAUAUAUAUGAAGUCUUUUCCUCAUCCAGAAUUGACACAAUUAUCUUUCUAUCGUUGAUUAACAGCUCCACUAACAUGGUUGAAGAAAUAAUUUGAUUUCUGUUUGCUUCGCACAGACGGACUGUUGCAAAGAAUUUCCAUUGAACCAAAUUUUGCUACAAAAACAACGAAACAACCUUACUUAAAGAAAGGAAAAGAAAAGAAAUGUUUAAAGUUCCAGUUCUGUGUCAUUUUACGUCUCGGGAAACAAUCUUUUCACUUUGUAACUUCUUGUGUGACUAAAGAGGCCAAUCCUUGAUACACAGCUGCGAUCGCAGAGUUGGGCAUAUGUAAUCACCAGGCGCCGUUGCAUUUUCACUCUUCUUUCUGCUUCUGUUGUAUAUGGCAUCUGCAAUCCGAGACCAUUCCUUUAUGCUCUCUCUCCAUGUGGAUCUAUCCAGUGCUACUUUUUCCCACCUGCUAGUUUCGAUUUCGAAGAGCUUCAUGUCGCGUUUGCAUACAUCCGUAUAACGUAAAAGUGGACGACCAGCGGCUCUCCUGCCUUCUAUUAGAUCACCAUACAGAAUGUCUUGUGGAAGUCGACCUACUGACAUUCUACGAACGUGGCCAAGACAGCCAAGGCGUCUGCUGCUGAUAACAGAGCGGAUGUCCUGGCAGUCUGCUCUUCGUAGCACUUCCUCAUUGGUUAUCUUAUCUUGCCACCUUAUUUUAAAGAUCCGCCUUAGGCAUCGGAGGUGAAAGACAUUCAGCUUUUUUUCCUGCCAUGAGUAGGUUGACCACGUUUCACUUCCGUACAGCAAGGUGCUCAACACAGGUAGACUAGGGCUUUAGUGCUGCUAGUCAGCAAUAUGUUGUCCCACACUCUUUUCUGCAACCGUGACAUGGUGCCCAUUGCUUUGGCUAUCCUGUUGUUAAUGUCUUUAUUCAAUAGAGCAUUCUAGGAUAUUAUGGAGCCAGGAUAGCAAAAGUUAUCAACAAUUUCUUGUGGUUGGCCAUUAAUAUUUAUAUGCGGUGCAGUAUUUGUGUUCUGAACUAGUAUCUUAGUCUUCCUUUGACUUAUAUUUAAGCCGAACUUCUGGCAAACAUCGGAUUGUUUGUCAACCAGGGACUGAAGCUGAAUAUCAGAAUCAGACACAAUAGCUGCAUCAUCAGCAAACAUGAGUUCCUGAUAAGUAUUUUCCUAACCUUGGUUUUUGCCCGCAGCCUUGAUACAUUUAAAAGUUUUCAAGAGGAUCUUGUAUAUAUUGUUACAAAUGACCAGUGACAGGAAGAGGUUAACGUGUGACCCCGACGAGAUAACACAGCAGCGGCAGUUCCCUGGAAUGUACAUGUAUAAACAAAGACAGGAUGUGACGUGUCCUUACAUGUUAUUCCAAAAGGUACUAGCAAUGUCCAGUGACAGAUAGAGGUCAAAAGUUGUGACCCCGGCAAGAUGACACUACAGCCAAUGUUUUCUGGAAUCUACAUGUAUAAACAAAGACAGGAUGUGACGUUUCCUCACGUGUUAUUCCAGAGGAUACUAGCCAUGUUUGUGCAACUUUGGACAAGCGAUUAGGGACUCUAUAUAAGCCAGAGCGUUAAUGUGAAAGUCAGUCGUAUGGAGUCGUAUGGAGUCCUGAGUGAGCCGUUACAGUCGAUACAGACGAUGUAAGACGUGUGCGGCUCUGUGGAAGAGAAAUGUGUACGACUCGAUGCAAGUUAACUAGGGUAGAGUUAACUGGAGUGGACUACUGUCGUUAAAGUCUAUACAGCGAACUACAUUGGACUUGAGCCGUUACAGUCGAUACAGUCGAUGUAAGACGUGUGCGGCUCUGAUUCGGUAGACUUGAGUACGACUUGGUUCAGCUUUGGGAGACCUUGAGCGACACUGGGAAGUGUGUCGUUGGUCUGUUCUGUGGAAUACGGCUCGAGGAAAGUUGAGAAGAGAUGAAUUGCAACGAAGUGAAGAGAUGAAUUGCAAUGAAGUAUAGCUAACUGUAAACUGACAGAUAUUGUACAGUCUUCUACACUACAUGUUACAGUAAUGUUAGAGUUAAUAGUCAUUAAAGUUAUAUGAAGCUGAAAGUUUAGUCGUCAAGUUCUUUGCUGUGUUUUUAUUUGUGUGCCAACUAAUACAUCUAGCCAGAAAAAUUCAGAAAUAC